Melopsittacus undulatus (budgerigar) is the source of this 2985-nucleotide long non-coding RNA. RefSeq lists it as uncharacterized. The record is from RefSeq and is a predicted model, not a curated record. The transcript is spliced from 3 exons. Lineage: Eukaryota; Metazoa; Chordata; Aves; Psittaciformes; Psittaculidae.
UGCAGACUACCUGUAAGCAGCCCAUAAAAACCAUUACACAAGUUAAGGCUCUUGGCAUCAGGUCUGCAGUUUAUAGAUAGCUCCUCUUCUCUUUGACAGGUAUAGAGAUCCCAAAACUUGGAAAAGAACUUGGAAAGCCACUGGCUUCAAACAUGCUGUGAUUAAACUGAUGCUCAAGAAACGCUACAAAGUCCUACCAAAAGACCCAACCACACACAACUGCAUCUCUUGAGCUCUACAGUCACGAUAUUGCCACCUAAGGGCAGUGUGAAGCCCUCGCCUUCUGCUCCUAAACAGACAGUAACUGCAGCACCACAGACACAGAACUCACCAGUCCUCAUCAUCCGAUGUGGCAAGCACAGAUUCUGCACGUCUUGUUCGGGUUGUCCUUGCAAGCUUUACACACAGGUCCAAUGCGGCCUGCGAGCAGAAAGAAACCACAGCUCCCUUCAAGCACCAAGAUACACUGGGAACAGACAGAGGUGGUACAGCUGCAGGGGUCCUGGAACUCAGACCUUGGAUCCUCACAGAGACAAUGAGAACAUCCCAAGGAUCUCUGCAUCGUACCAGAACCCUCUCUCAUUUGGCUCAUCGGGGUUGUAGUUGACCAUCACCACCUGCCCCACUUCCAGCUGGUGCCACUUCAAGAUAGUCCGUGCACGAGCCCGUACAUCAUUGGAGCCCAACUGCACAACUCCGUUCUCUGGAUAGCUUGGAGCAGAGGGAAGGCAGGGAGGGACAGAGAAGGAAAAUCAGAUUCAACAUCACAGCUGUUCCAAGUGAUGGAUUUUAUCCAGACAGGUCAAUUUACGAGCUGAUGCAACAUGCAAUUUCCCACUCAGACACAGCCAGAAUGGGGCACUCUGGCUCUGCUGCUAUUGUAUCCCACUUGGAUAACAGCAUUUCAUAGUUCUAAAAACCUGACUCCAAGCCCCUGGAAUUCCAGCUGUAAGACAAACUGACAGCUCCCAGGGCUCAGUUACUGCAUCAGCCCAGUUCUGGCUUACUCUGUGGAGCUCUAAAAUCAGAUUUCCCAUCAACAUCAUGAUCCAAAUGGACAAGAAGGGAACAAAACUCACUCCUCAUACUUGACGUGGUAUAUGACAUCUUCUUCAGGAAUGGCUCUCGGCUGCUCAGGAUCUGAGCAGCUCUCAGCUGAUGCAUUUGCAGGUUUUUUUCUGCUUACAUUUACAACCUGGGCUUCAAACCAUGCCCCCAUGUUCAUAUCUCGAGCGUCCACGAGGUCAUUGAUCUACACAAAGCAAAGGACACAGCUCACUAAAAUGGAAAUGAAGCAUUCAUUUCCAUUGCUAUUAAAGAUUAAAUCAUCCCAAGAACCUCAAGAUCAAGAUAUUUAACAGAUCAUCAGAAAAAUUAAGAGCUCCUUCACCUUCCCAAUCCCAGCUGAAAUACAGGUUGAGCCCCUAAGGCUAAAUAUCCACUCUGCACCACCAGCAGCACAAGCAGGCUUCUUACCUAGCACAAACCCUUAUCAGGCAGUCUGUAAGGUACCUAGCUCAUAGUCUGGCAAAGGCAGCACUGGGUCUGCAAUAAAAUCCAUUGAAACAGGCAAGUAAAGGGAUUGUGAGCAGCUGGCUGAGAUUUUCUUUUGCUCAUUCAAGGAAGUUUCAGCUCUGACAAAUGCAGCGACUCCAAGCAGGAAGGAUUCCGAGUUUUUAAACCAAAAUGGGCACUCGGCAUGCUUCUUGUUUGAAUCAGGUCAGGUUUUGGCGUUUUAGUUAAAAGGAUAACAUGAAAGAUAAAGCACUCUGACCUACAACACGUGGCAAUGCACGGCUUUGUGGCACGCUUGCUGGUGCAGGGUUUAAGAAACAGAAGACCAGGACCCACAGAAGGAGGGCACAAAAGUCAAUUCCCCAUAAAAGAGCAAUUCCCCUCUGGGUGCAGCUCCCAGAAUACCAGCUCUGGAGCACCUCACCUUAUAGAGGCCAAAGCCCGGGUCGGUCCAGUCGGGCUGUGCUGCUGUGCCAGGCUGGCCCUCCAGUUCCAGGGCACCUUCCCCAUUGUGAGAGCUUUUGUCGGAUUCGCUUUGGCCUGAGCCACAGCCAGAGUCUGUGUCCGAGAGCUCGGGAUCCUUUUCCUUACUGACAGCGGGAAGCACGGCCGGGCUUUGUCUCACCAGGAGCUGGACAAUGUCAUUGAGGCCGACGCUGUAAUCGAAAAGGGAGUGACCAUCUUCCAUCUGCAGGGAAGCAGUGAAAUCAGGCGGUUAUUGCAGGGCAGAGCCACCCCAUCACGCUGCCUUCAUCCUUAUGUGCUGAGAUGGAGCACGUGGCUUUCAAACCACGAGCAGGCAAGGAACUUGAACUUCAGUGCCUCAGAUCCAUAUGGAUCGCUGUUCUUACCAUGGAAAUGUUCUUGCCUCAGCACUCUGCAAGCCAGGAGAACAAGACCUCCAUACUGCAGUAGACUCAAUGCCCAGAGCAAGCCACAGUGUUGUAGAUCUGAAAGGGUUUGCAGUACAUUCCCAAGACACCAAUUCUGGGAAGGACUUAAAGAACUCCAGAUCCCCUACAUUCCCUAUCAGGAUUUAAAGGUAAUUCCACACUACUUACUAACUCAAAAGGAAGUUCUUUAUUCCUUAAUUCGGACACAUCAGAACAUCAACUUGGACUCAUCUUUAUAUUGGACUCGUGUACGCUCCGGAUGACAGCUCCAGCAUCGCUGCUGACCAUGGGAUCACGCAGAAGCCAGAGCUCAUCACUUGCCUUUCUCUGGGCCAGCACACGAGUGUUCCAUUGAGAGUAAAAUCAAGAGAUUCAACUCAAUGUGAAACUGCCUCCUCUCUCCGAGCACGCCCCAGUUCCUCUCCUAGGACAGGGGGUUGGCUGGCAAGGCUGGCUGCAGACCCUGCCCCUGCAAGUCCACAGGACCACGAGGCCUCUGCAUUCCCUUCCCUGAGCUCCAAGGAGCGCCUCCACUUCAGAGUUAAAGCAUCCUGCUGGAGCCCACAGCGCGGGCAGA